Molecule: ribosomal RNA, 418 nt
Filed under: Architeuthidae environmental sample cf. Architeuthis sp.
Lineage: Eukaryota; Metazoa; Mollusca; Cephalopoda; Oegopsida; Architeuthidae
Description: partial 16S ribosomal RNA
Source: RNAcentral
UGCGGUAUUUUAACUGUACCCAUUUAAGGUAAUAAUUUGCCUUAUAAUUUGAGGCUAGAAUGCCUUGUUUGACGAAGGUUAAUCUGUCUCUAUCCUAUUUUGUAGAAUUUAAUUUUUAAAGUGAAAAAGCUUGUAUUUUUUAAAGGGACGAGAAGACCCUAUUGAGCUUAUAAUUUUACUGUUGUUUAUAAGUAUUUAUUUAAUGAUGGAUAAAUUUUAAUUGGGGUGAUUGAGGAAUAAAAUAUAUUAAAUAGUAACUUCCUUAGGUUAAAUGUUGUUGGAUAAAGUAACCAAUAUAUUAUUGCUUAUAAUAUAGUUACCAUAGGGAUAACAGCGUAAUUUAUUUAGAGAGUUCUUAUUGAAAAAUAAGAUUGCGACCUCGAUGUUGGAUUAAAGUAACCUUAAGGUGCAGAAGCUU